This 461-nucleotide ribosomal RNA is filed under the name uncultured Actinomycetes bacterium. RNAcentral describes it as "bacterial SSU rRNA". It matches the Rfam family "Bacterial small subunit ribosomal RNA", at positions 355 to 828 of the family's 1533-position model. The record is from RNAcentral. Lineage: Bacteria; Bacillati; Actinomycetota; Actinomycetes.
UGGGGAAUAUUGGACAAUGGGCGAAAGCCUGAUCCAGCAACGCCGCGUGAGGGAUGACGGCCUUCGGGUUGUAAACCUCUUUCAGCAGGGACGAAGCGCAAGUGACGGUACCUGCAGAAGAAGCACCGGCCAACUACGUGCCAGCAGCCGCGGUAAUACGUAGGGUGCGAGCGUUGUCCGGAAUUAUUGGGCGUAAAGGGCUCGUAGGCGGUUUGUCGCGUCAGGAGUGAAAACUCGGGGCUUAACCCCGAGCCUGCUUCUGAUACGGGCAGACUAGAGGUAUGCAGGGGAGAACGGAAUUCCUGGUGUAGCGGUGAAAUGCGCAGAUAUCAGGAGGAACACCGGUGGCGAAAGGCGGUUCUCUGGGCAUUACCUGACGCUGAGGAGCGAAAGUGUGGGGAGCGAACAGGAUUAGAUACCCUGGUAGUCCACACGUAAACGUUGGGCGCUAGGUGUGGGAC